This 378-nucleotide ribosomal RNA is filed under the name Hyrtios cf. erectus GW26957. RNAcentral's name for it is "partial 28S large subunit ribosomal RNA". Lineage: Eukaryota; Metazoa; Porifera; Demospongiae; Dictyoceratida; Thorectidae. The record is from RNAcentral.
ACGAACGAGGUUGGUGCAGUGGUCGCGCAGGUUCAAGCACUGCCAAAGGUGCCGGUGUGUCGACGAAGAUCGUCCCGCGCCGUCGACCGGAGGCGGUGCCGUACUCCUCGUGACCAUUGACCAGCAGCGGUUGGGCCGGAGCCAUAAGGCAGCAGUGGAAGGUGAGUCGGUGCGAGCCUGUCUUGCAUUGACAGCUUAUAGCCCUGUCUGUACGGUGCUCCGGCGUGACCGAGGAAGCUGGGCAGCCCUUGCCCAUUGUGGUGCACGCCGAAUGGCGGGGCCUCCCGACAGGAGCAAACCGUGCGGUGUGGACUGCAUGCAGUGCUCACUGUUGCGGUGAACUCGUGCCGGAGAGCGCCACUGGUGUGCCAGUGCUGC